AGAGUUUGAUCCUGGCUCAGAGUGAACGCUGGCGGUAGGCCUAACACAUGCAAGUCGAACGGCAGCACAGUAAGAGCUUGCUCUUACGGGUGGCGAGUGGCGGACGGGUGAGGAAUACAUCGGAAUCUACUUUUUCGUGGGGGAUAACGUAGGGAAACUUACGCUAAUACCGCAUACGACCUACGGGUGAAAGCAGGGGAUCUUCGGACCUUGCGCGAUUGAAUGAGCCGAUGUCGGAUUAGCUAGUUGGCGGGGUAAAGGCCCACCAAGGCGACGAUCCGUAGCUGGUCUGAGAGGAUGAUCAGCCACACUGGAACUGAGACACGGUCCAGACUCCUACGGGAGGCAGCAGUGGGGAAUAUUGGACAAUGGGCGCAAGCCUGAUCCAGCCAUACCGCGUGGGUGAAGAAGGCCUUCGGGUUGUAAAGCCCUUUUGUUGGGAAAGAAAUCCAGCUGGUUAAUACCCGGUUGGGAUGACGGUACCCAAAGAAUAAGCACCGGCUAACUUCGUGCCAGCAGCCGCGGUAAUACGAAGGGUGCAAGCGUUACUCGGAAUUACUGGGCGUAAAGCGUGCGUAGGUGGUUGUUUAAGUCUGUUGUGAAAGCCCUGGGCUCAACCUGGGAACUGCAGUGGAAACUGGACGACUAGAGUGUGGUAGGGGGUAGCGGAAUUCCUGGUGUAGCAGUGAAAUGCGUAGAGAUCAGGAGGAACAUCCAUGGCGAAAGCAGCUACCUGGACCAACACUGACACUGAGGCACGAAAGCGUG
RNAcentral lists this ribosomal RNA (768 nucleotides) under uncultured bacterium. RNAcentral's name for it is "bacterial SSU rRNA". It matches the Rfam family "Bacterial small subunit ribosomal RNA", at positions 8 to 763 of the family's 1533-position model. The record is from RNAcentral.